GUAUUUCCGCGGGCGCUGAGCACUAGAGAGAGCGUCUUGUGGCUGCGGCCUGCCCCUCAGCCUCCUCCGCGCGGUUACCCCUGUACCCGCCGCCAUCCGUCCUGGCGCUCCGGAUGAGUCAAUGAGGGGCAGGGCCCGAGGAGUGGUCUUCCCAAGAACCCCUGGUGGCCUCCCAAGGCCGGUGCUGUGUACCUCCUCCCCGACAAAAGGGGAAACUGAGGCCCCGAGGGGAGUGGGAAGAGCCGGCUGGACGUCAGGCCCAGCCGCUGGUGCAGUGGCCUCGUGGGCUGUGCGGCUAUCCUGGAGACAGAUGACAGCUCUCCCUUGGAUGGCUUUGCUGGUUCCGCACCAGCCAGCGCCCCCAUUUUUCCUGCAGCACCCUGAUCUGCACUCCCUGAGGGGCUCCCACUGUCCGCGGUGUGAGGAUGUCCCUGGAUAGUCCACUGUGUGCAGAGGCAUGGGAGUUGUCAUGUUGGGAACAUGCUAGACCUCAGUAUCCUUGAGGGAUGCUGCCUUGGGUCUGGAAACUGUUAGAGGAAACCCCAAGAGGUGCAGGCACUGAGCCUCUCAGGACAAUGACCUGGGGUCCCAGCUCCCCUGGAGGGGCCUCCUCAUGAUUGUUUGGGGGUUGAUCACAGACCAAGAGUGACGAGUGAUGUCACCCUGUGACUCAUGGCUGGACCUUCUUGCCCCUAUUGUCUCAGCACAACAUUAUUCGACUUUUCCCUCAGCGUGGGUGGGCAGAGGAAAAGCCCUGUGGCUCUGGGGACUUGGGAUCCAGAGUUGAAGACCCUUCAGCUGGCUCUGCCCUGCCAGUGCCACAGAGUGCCAUGGCCCAGGAAGACAGGUUUUCUUCCAUCUAGGCCAGGCCAUCCAGUGGCCAUCCUCCGUGUCCUCCCGCCUCCUCCUGGUGUGACUUCUGAAAACCAAGAAUUUGUUCCUGUUGACUUUUUCUGUGCUAUGGACCAUUGUCCUCUCACCCACUCAAUAAAUCUUGAAACAUGC
This 1005-nucleotide long non-coding RNA is filed under the name Homo sapiens (human). Its description in RNAcentral is "HSALNT0400994". Lineage: Eukaryota; Metazoa; Chordata; Mammalia; Primates; Hominidae. The record is from RNAcentral.